GACGAACGCUGGCGGCGUGCCUAAUACAUGCAAGUAGAACGCACAGUUUAUACCGUAGCUUGCUACACCAUAAACUGUGAGUUGCGAACGGGUGAGUAACGCGUAGGUAACCUGCCUGGUAGCGGGGGAUAACUAUUGGAAACGAUAGCUAAUACCGCAUAAUAUUGAUUAUUGCAUGAUAAUUGAUUGAAAGAUGCUAUUGCAUCACUACCAGAUGGACCUGCGUUGUAUUAGCUAGUAGGUGAGGUAACGGCUCACCUAGGCGACGAUACAUAGCCGACCUGAGAGGGUGAUCGGCCACACUGGGACUGAGACACGGCCCAGACUCCUACGGGAGGCAGCAGUGGGGAAUCUUCGGCAAUGGACGAAAGUCUGACCGAGCAACGCCGCGUGAGUGAAGAAGGGUUUCGGAUCGUAAAGCUCUGUUGUAAGAGAAGAACGGGUGUGAGAGUGGAAAGUUCACACUGUGACGGUAUCUUACCAGAAAGGGACGGCUAACUACGUG
Molecule: ribosomal RNA, 505 nt
Filed under: uncultured bacterium
Lineage: Bacteria
Description: partial 16S ribosomal RNA
Rfam family: Bacterial small subunit ribosomal RNA
Source: RNAcentral